CAUUACAGUGACCCCGGUCUAACCACCGGGAUGUUCAUAACCCUUUGUUGUCCGACUCUGUUGCCUCCGGGGCGACCCUGCCUUCGGGCGGGGGCUCCGGGUGGACACUUCAAACUCUUGCGUAACUUUGCAGUCUGAGUAAAUUUAAUUAAUAAAUUAAAACUUUUAACAACGGAUCUCUUGGUUCUGGCAUCGAUGAAGAACGCAGCGAAAUGCGAUAAGUAAUGUGAAUUGCAGAAUUCAGUGAAUCAUCGAAUCUUUGAACGCACAUUGCGCCCCCUGGUAUUCCGGGGGGCAUGCCUGUUCGAGCGUCAUUUCACCACUCAAGCCUCGCUUGGUAUUGGGCAACGCGGUCCGCCGCGUGCCUCAGAUCGACCGGCUGGGUCUUCUGUCCCCUAAACGUUGUGGAAACUAUUCGCUAAAGGGUGCUCGGGAGGCUACGCCGUAAAACAAACCCAUUUCUAAGGUUGACCUCGGAUCAGGUAGGGAUACCCGCUGAACUUAAGCUUAUCAAUAAGAGGAGGAA
This 526-nucleotide ribosomal RNA is filed under the name Cladosporium sp. MABC14-0-5-M1. Its description in RNAcentral is "eukaryotic LSU rRNA". The stretch from base 161 to 314 matches the Rfam family "5.8S ribosomal RNA". The record is from RNAcentral. Lineage: Eukaryota; Fungi; Ascomycota; Dothideomycetes; Cladosporiales; Cladosporiaceae.